AUGAUCGUGUACGUGUUCGUCAACCUGGCGCGGAAGCCCCACAGCAAGGGCUCCAUGGUCACGGCCUCCGUCUUCCUCCUCUGCUGGGUCAGCGUCACGGCCGGCGUCUACACGGCCAUCUGCGGCGACCUCUUCCAGCUGUCGGCGCUUAGUGGGUGCCUGGCCUCCAUCCCCGGGGCAGUCCGUGGCGCGGGCCGACUUCUCUGCCUGCCGUGUCGGUGCACGCACGCCGGGCUACGGCGCCGAAGCGUGGGCGGCGGCGGCGCUCUGCCGCAGUUUCUGGACCAGACACCGAGUCACAUGCCCGUGCUGGCCCGGGAGCCGCCGGUGCAUGGCGGCGCGCGAGCGGUGAUGGCGUAUGACAUCCCGGCGUACGAGCAGCCGGAGGGUGGUUGCCGGUCAGAGUGCACGAUUUGCCUCGGGGAGGUGGAGAAGGGGGACAUGGUGAAGCGGAUGCCGGCGUGCCUGCACAUGUUUCAUCAAAACAUGUGCGUCGACUCGUGGCUGCACGAGCACUCGACGUGCCCGGUCUGCCGGUGCAACUUCUUCGUGCCGUUGCCGGCCCAAAUGGUAUGA
This 576-nucleotide ribosomal RNA is filed under the name Triticum aestivum (bread wheat). RNAcentral's name for it is "partial small subunit ribosomal RNA". Lineage: Eukaryota; Viridiplantae; Streptophyta; Magnoliopsida; Poales; Poaceae. The record is from RNAcentral.